UACAGAGGUCUCAAGCGUUGUUCGGAUUCAUUGGGCGUAAAGGGUGCGUAGGUGGCAUGGUAAGUCGGAUGUGAAAUCCCGGGGCUCAACCCCGGAACUGCAUUCGAUACUGCUGCGCUAGAGUACUGGAGAGGAGAUUGGAAUUUACGGUGUAGCAGUGAAAUGCGUAGAUAUCGAAAGGAAGACCAGUGGCGAAGGCGGAUCUCUGGACAGUUACUGACACUGAGGCACGAAGGCCAGGGGAGCAAACGGG
Molecule: ribosomal RNA, 253 nt
Filed under: uncultured bacterium
Lineage: Bacteria
Description: partial 16S ribosomal RNA
Rfam family: Bacterial small subunit ribosomal RNA
Source: RNAcentral